CGAUGAUAAGACAGAAAAUUGCCGCUUAAUAUCUGACAAUAAGUAGUUUGCAAAAGUAAAUAGGUUAGCUGAGGUAAAAGCGACCAUUAACGCCAACAGUGUUGAAUUUGGCAAGAAAUUAUGACAAUUGAAUCUGGAUGUCCUAAAUAAAUUGGGGUAUCAGGCGGAGGUGCCCGAGACGGCACGGCAGCGAGGCUGCGGAGAGAGGCUAAAAGAGUAAUCCGAUGAGAAAAAGGACAAUAAAAACAGAAGAUGAGAUUGAUAUAAAAACAAAGGAGUUGAUUAAACAAAUAAGAUGCUGAUAUUCUAUUUUUUCUAUUUGCUUUUGGGCUUUUCAAGAAGAAUCUGAUUACUGGCUGGCUUUGCUUAGCCUGUGGCCCCAUGCCAAAAAAAGCAAAAAAACAAAAAACAAACAGAGAAAAUAGAGCCUUAUUCUUACUUUAAAAUAAAAACUAUUACUUGCUAUGUCCUAAAAUUUUUUUUAAAAAAAAAUACAGAUUAAUGACAAGAUCAGAUGCAAAUCAAAAUCAACGAUAAGGUCGUUACCCCACCCAAAAAUUUGAUUCAAAUUUUUAGUCAUCAUGUUCUCUCUUUUACACCUGUUCCAGUGGGACCUAAAAUUUUGUGCACUGUAACAUUAUCAAAAAAGGAGCUGAGGGCAACUGAUGAGCCCACGUGGCUUCACCAGAGAUCGAAAGCUUAUCGACUCUGUUGUACCCCCUUGUUGGUCUCUAUCAAAACCCCUUAGAGAAAAAGGGACACUUCUUUUUUAAAAGUUUUUGCCAGCUUGUACCUCGGACCCUACAACAGUAACGGCUACCUUUUUCACUCUUUCUCUGCCACGUGACUCUACGAGACUGCUCUUCUCUCUUCCCUUCACUUCUUAUUUGGCGGGAUAAAAAGGAGGGCCCCACUUGUGUCCUUUCCUGGACAUCUUUAACUGCGCCUGUCCUAAUCGUUGACUGAAUAUGUCGGACUUUUCUCUCCGCCCUGUGGUCCCCACACCUUCCCCCCGAGGCCGGCACUAAUGAAGAAGAAUGAGUAAAAUGAGGACAAAUUUGAAAAAAACUAAUGUAACACUGAAUUUUUUUUUUAAAAAAAAAAUCAUAUGCUACCGUUGCACUCGGAAAAUU
This 1133-nucleotide unclassified non-coding RNA is filed under the name Hevea brasiliensis (rubber tree). The record is from RNAcentral. Lineage: Eukaryota; Viridiplantae; Streptophyta; Magnoliopsida; Malpighiales; Euphorbiaceae.